UGAAAUGCAUAGAUAUGUCUUAGAACUCCGAUUGCGAAGGCAGCUCACUAAGCUGGUAUUGACGCUGAUGCACGAAAGCGUGGGGAUCGAACAGGAUUAGAUACCCUGGUAGUCCACGCCCUAAACGAUGAUAACUCGAUGUUGGGGAUCUACAGCCAGCGUCCCAGCGAAAGCGUUAAGUUAUCCACCUGGGGAGUACGCCCGCAAGGGUGAAACUCAAAUAAAUUGACGGGAGG
This 236-nucleotide ribosomal RNA is filed under the name Sphingobacterium faecium. Its description in RNAcentral is "partial 16S ribosomal RNA". It matches the Rfam family "Bacterial small subunit ribosomal RNA", at positions 682 to 920 of the family's 1533-position model. Lineage: Bacteria; Pseudomonadati; Bacteroidota; Sphingobacteriia; Sphingobacteriales; Sphingobacteriaceae. The record is from RNAcentral.